RNAcentral lists this ribosomal RNA (189 nucleotides) under uncultured bacterium. RNAcentral describes it as "partial 16S ribosomal RNA". It matches the Rfam family "Bacterial small subunit ribosomal RNA", at positions 340 to 521 of the family's 1533-position model. The record is from RNAcentral.
UACGGGAGGCAGCAGUGGGGAAUAUUGGACAAUGGGCGAAAGCCUGAUCCAGCCAUGCCGCGUGUGUGAAGAAGGUCUUCGGGUUGUAAAGCACUUUAAGUUGGGAGGAAGGGCAGUUACUUAAUACGUGAUUGUUUUGACGUUACCGACAGAAUAAGCACCGGCUAACUCUGUGCCAGCAGCCGCGGU